This is a non-coding RNA of Chelonoidis abingdonii (Abingdon island giant tortoise), 1108 nucleotides long. The record is from RefSeq and is a predicted model, not a curated record. Lineage: Eukaryota; Metazoa; Chordata; Testudines; Testudinidae.
GAGAGUUUGCAGCUCAAGGAGGGGAAUAAGGAACAAAGGGAUCAUAUAAACUAUGCAGGUCUAAGCUGCCCCUGCGAGCCCGGAAUCCGGGCUGAGCCGCUGCUGCGCCCCAGCGGGGUCUGUGCCCGGGACAAACCUGCACUAGCGCCCCUCUGUCCCCAGCCGGGGGGACUUUCUGCGGUGGCUGGAACCAGCUCCUGGCUCCAACCCCUGAGCUGGAGACUGCAGGAUGCAGACUGGAAGCUCAGGUGAGAAGAGAGGCUGCAGGGGGCCAAGAACAGUUCCCAGAGGUGUUGCGAGGAAGGAAGAGGGGAAAAACGAGACAGAGGUGGAGGCGGUGAGGUGUGAAAGUAGAAAUUCCCAUCUGAUAUUCUCCAAGAUGCUUUCAAGGUGAUGUUCAGAGAGGAUAAUAUGAGUUUGCACCCAUUUUCAGAAGUGGCCACUGACUUUAAAUGCCUCAGUUUUGGGGUGUCUGACUUGUGACACCACAGGCCUGAUUCUCAGGGGGUGUUGAAUUGCCACUGAUUUCAUUAGGAGUUGUAGCAGCUCAGUAUUUCUGAAAUGAGGCUAGGUACCCAUAAAUUAAGGAAAGCAGAGUCAGUAGCCUCUUGGAAAACUUGGCUCACUGUUCUCCCCAAGUGCACAGAAUUCAAUAUUUCAACACAAUCCCCUUGGCCACCUCCCUAACAAACUUAACUGACCCCCAAGUGAAUACAAGUCUUUUCUCAGAAAAUAAACCGGACUCAAAACGCUUUAUGAAAAAGCAAAUAAAUCAUUUACACAUGAACAGCACCUCUGGAUCAGCCUGAAAAGCAAAUCCAGGUACAUUAAAAAAUAAAACAACUAUAUUAUAAUGAGGUUUACUUUGUUAACCUAUAUGCAACUCCCAGGCAAAUGUGAAACAGAGAAAAGCAAACACUUCCCAUGUAGAAAUCUAAAUCCUUAGGCAUGACCCUCAAAGUUCAUAUUCCCAUUACUACAAAUAUGAGUCUUGAUCUUGCAGACACUUCACUUCAAGCAACUGAGUAAUCCUAUUGAUUUCAGCUGGAAUAACGUGCAGAAAGUUGAACAGGUGCAUGUUUGCAAGAAUAAAAUUAUAGCUCUGCGG